This 403-nucleotide ribosomal RNA is filed under the name bacterium. Its description in RNAcentral is "partial 16S ribosomal RNA". It matches the Rfam family "Bacterial small subunit ribosomal RNA", at positions 355 to 776 of the family's 1533-position model. The record is from RNAcentral.
UGGGGAAUAUUGCACAAUGGGCGAAAGCCUGAUGCAGCAACGCCGCGUGAGCGAUGAAGGCCUUCGGGUCGUAAAGCUCUGUCCUCAAGGAAGAUAAUGACGGUACUUGAGGAGGAAGCCCCGGCCAACUACGUGCCAGCAGCCGCGGUAAUACGUAGGGGGCUAGCGUUAUCCGGAAUUACUGGGCGUAAAGGGUGCGUAGGUGGUUUCUUAAGUCAGAGGUGAAAGGCUACGGCUCAACCGUAGUAAGCCUUUGAAACUGGGAAACUUGAGUGCAGGAGAGGAGAGUGGAAUUCCUAGUGUAGCGGUGAAAUGCGUAGAUAUUAGGAGGAACACCAGUUGCGAAGGCGGCUCUCUGGACUGUAACUGACACUGAGGCACGAAAGCGUGGGGAGCAAACAGG